RNAcentral lists this ribosomal RNA (484 nucleotides) under uncultured bacterium. RNAcentral's name for it is "partial 16S ribosomal RNA". It matches the Rfam family "Bacterial small subunit ribosomal RNA", at positions 30 to 507 of the family's 1533-position model. The record is from RNAcentral.
AUUGAACGCUGGCGGCAGGCCUAACACAUGCAAGUCGAGCGGAUGAAGGGAGCUUGCUCCUGGAUUCAGCGGCGGACGGGUGAGUAAUGCCUAGGAAUCUGCCUGGUAGUGGGGGAUAACUUCCGGAAACGGGCGCUAAUACCGCAUACGUCCUGAGGGAGAAAGUGGGGGAUCUUCGGACCUCACGCUAUCAGAUGAGCCUAGGUCGGAUUAGCUAGUUGGUGGGGUAAAGGCCUACCAAGGCGACGAUCCGUAACUGGUCUGAGAGGAUGAUCAGUCACACUGGAACUGAGACACGGUCCAGACUCCUACGGGAGGCAGCAGUGGGGAAUAUUGGACAAUGGGCGAAAGACUGAUCCAGCCAUGCCGCGUGUGUGAAGAAGGUCUUCGGAUUGUAAAGCACUUUAAGUUGGGAGGAAGGGCAGUAAGUUAAUACCUUGCUGUUUUGACGUUACCAACAGAAUAAGCACCGGCUAACUUCGUG